This 687-nucleotide ribosomal RNA is filed under the name uncultured Mycoplasma sp. RNAcentral describes it as "bacterial SSU rRNA". It matches the Rfam family "Bacterial small subunit ribosomal RNA", at positions 576 to 1290 of the family's 1533-position model. The record is from RNAcentral. Lineage: Bacteria; Bacillati; Mycoplasmatota; Mollicutes; Mycoplasmatales; Mycoplasmataceae.
CGGAUGGCUAAGUUCUAUGUUAAAAGCGGCUGCUCAACAGUCGUUUGCAUAGAAUACUAGCCGUCUAGAAUAUGGUAGGAAGUUUUGGAAUUAAAUAUGGAGCGGUGGAAUGUGUAGAUAUAUUUAAGAACACCAGAGGCGAAGGCGAAAACUUAGGCCAUUAUUGACGCUUAGGCUUGAAAGUGUGGGUAGCAAAUGGGAUUAGAUACCCCAGUAGUCCACACCGUAAACGAUGGGUAUUGGGUGUCGGGGCUUGAGCCUCGGUGCUGUAGCUUACGUGUUAAAUACCCCGCCUGGGUAGUACAUAUGCAAAUAUGAAACUCAAAGGAAUUGACGGGGACCUGAACAAGUGGUGGAACAUGUUGCUUAAUUCGAUAAUACACGAAAAACCUUACCAAGGUUUGACAUCCCUCGCAAACCCAUAGAAAUAUGGCGGAGGUUAUCGAGGUGACAGGUGGUGCAUGGUUGUCGUCAGCUCGUGUCAUGAGAUGUUUGGUUAAGUCCCGCAACGAGCGCAACCCUACUCUUUAGUUACUUUUCUAAAGAGACUGAACAGUAAUGUAUAGGAAGGUUGGGAUCACGUCAAAUCAUCAUGCCCCUUAUGCCUUGGGCCGCAAACGUGUUACAAUGGCGAGUACAAUGUGUCGCAAUCUAGCGAUAGUGAGCUAAUCACUAAAACUCGUCUCA